ACGCUGGCGGCACGCCUAAUACAUGCAAGUCGAACGAAGUAGCAAUACUUAGUGGCAGACGGGUGAGUAACAUGUAGGUAUCUUCCCUUUGGUGAGGAAUAACACGAGGAAACUUGUGCUAAUACCUCAUAAGUCUUUACGGAGAAAGCUUUAUGCGCCAUUGGAUGAGCCUGCACUUGAUUAGUUUGUUGGUGGGGUAAUGGCCUACCAAGACUUUGAUCAAUAGCUGAUUUGAGAGGAUGAUCAGCCACAUUGGGACUGAGACACGGCCCAAACUCCUACGGGAGGCAGCAGUAGGGAAUCUUGCACAAUGGAGGAAACUCUGAUGCAGCGAUGCCGCGUGAGUGAAGAAGGCCCUUGGGUUGUAAAGCUCUUUCGUCGGGGAAGAAAAUGACUGUACCCGAAUAAGAAGGUCCGGCUAACUUCGUGCCAGCAGCCGCGGUAAUACGAAGGGACCUAGCGUAGUUCGGAAUUACUGGGCUUAAAGAGUUCGUAGGUGGUUAAAAAAGUUGGUGGUGAAAUCCCAGAGCUUAACUCUGGAACUGCCAUCAAAACUUUUUAGCUAGAGUAUGAUAGAGGAAAGCAGAAUUUCUAGUGUAGAGGUGAAAUUCGUAGAUAUUAGAAAGAAUACCGAUUGCGAAGGCAGCUUUCUGGAUCAUUACUGACACUGAGGAACGAAAGCAUGGGUAGCGAAGAGGAUUAGAUACCCUCGUAGUCCAUGCCGUAAACGAUGUGUGUUAGACGUUGGAAAUUUAUUUUCAGUGUCGCAGCGAAAGCAAUAAACACACCGCCUGGGGAGUACGAC
Molecule: ribosomal RNA, 805 nt
Filed under: uncultured Pelagibacteraceae bacterium
Lineage: Bacteria; Pseudomonadati; Pseudomonadota; Alphaproteobacteria; Candidatus Pelagibacterales; Candidatus Pelagibacteraceae
Description: bacterial SSU rRNA
Rfam family: Bacterial small subunit ribosomal RNA
Source: RNAcentral